This 480-nucleotide ribosomal RNA is filed under the name Salmonella enterica subsp. enterica serovar Concord. RNAcentral's name for it is "partial 23S ribosomal RNA". It matches the Rfam family "Bacterial large subunit ribosomal RNA", at positions 169 to 688 of the family's 2925-position model. The record is from RNAcentral. Lineage: Bacteria; Pseudomonadati; Pseudomonadota; Gammaproteobacteria; Enterobacterales; Enterobacteriaceae.
GGUUAAUGAGGCGAACCGGGGGAACUGAAACAUCUAAGUACCCCGAGGAAAAGAAAUCAACCGAGAUUCCCCCAGUAGCGGCGAGCGAACGGGGAGGAGCCCAGAGCCUGAAUCAGCAUGUGUGUUAGUGGAAGCGUCUGGAAAGGCGCGCGAUACAGGGUGACAGCCCCGUACACAAAAGCGCAUGUGCUGUGAGCUCGAUGAGUAGGGCGGGACACGUGGUAUCCUGUCUGAAUAUGGGGGGACCAUCCUCCAAGGCUAAAUACUCCUGACUGACCGAUAGUGAACCAGUACCGUGAGGGAAAGGCGAAAAGAACCCCGGCGAGGGGAGUGAAAAAGAACCUGAAACCGUGUACGUACAAGCAGUGGGAGCACAGGUUUACCUGUGUGACUGCGUACCUUUUGUAUAAUGGGUCAGCGACUUAUAUUCUGUAGCAAGGUUAACCGAAUAGGGGAGCCGUAGGGAAACCGAGUCUUAAC